UGCUUGCACCAGAUGAAACUAGAUACAAGCGAGCGGCGGACGGGUGAGUAACACGUGGGUAACCUGCCCAAGAGACGGGGAUAACACCUGGAAACAGAUGCUAAUACCGGAUAACAACACUAGACGCAUGUCUAGAGUUUAAAAGAUGGUUCUGCUAUCACUCUUGGAUGGACCUGCGGUGCAUUAGCUAGUUGGUAAGGUAACGGCUUACCAAGGCAAUGAUGCAUAGCCGAGUUGAGAGACUGAUCGGCCACAUUGGGACUGAGACACGGCCCAAACUCCUACGGGAGGCAGCAGUAGGGAAUCUUCCACAAUGGACGCAAGUCUGAUGGAGCAACGCCGCGUGAGUGAAGAAGGGUUUCGGCUCGUAAAGCUCUGUUGGUAGUGAAGAAAGAUAGAGGUAGUAACUGGCCUUUAUUUGACGGUAAUUACUUAGAAAGUCACGGCUAACUACGUGCCAGCAGCCGCGGUAAUACGUAGGUGGCAAGCGUUGUCCGGAUUUAUUGGGCGUAAAGCGAGUGCAGGCGGUUCAAUAAGUCUGAUGUGAAAGCCUUCGGCUCAACCGGAGAAUUGCAUCAGAAACUGUUGAACUUGAGUGCAGAAGAGGAGAGUGGAACUCCAUGUGUAGCGGUGGAAUGCGUAGAUAUAUGGAAGAACACCAGUGGCGAAGGCGGCUCUCUGGUCUGCAACUGACGCUGAGGC
Molecule: ribosomal RNA, 702 nt
Filed under: uncultured Bacilli bacterium
Lineage: Bacteria; Bacillati; Bacillota; Bacilli
Description: bacterial SSU rRNA
Rfam family: Bacterial small subunit ribosomal RNA
Source: RNAcentral